RNAcentral lists this transfer RNA (63 nucleotides) under Dipodomys ordii (Ord's kangaroo rat). It matches the Rfam family "tRNA". From Rfam's summary of the family: Transfer RNA (tRNA) molecules are approximately 80 nucleotides in length. Their secondary structure includes four short double-helical elements and three loops (D, anti-codon, and T loops). Further hydrogen bonds mediate the characteristic L-shaped molecular structure. tRNAs have two regions of fundamental functional importance: the anti-codon, which is responsible for specific mRNA codon recognition, and the 3' end, to which the tRNAs corresponding amino acid is attached (by aminoacyl-tRNA synthetases). tRNAs cope with the degeneracy of the genetic code in two manners: having more than one tRNA (with a specific anti-codon) for a particular amino acid; and 'wobble' base-pairing, i.e. permitting non-standard base-pairing at the 3rd anti-codon position. Lineage: Eukaryota; Metazoa; Chordata; Mammalia; Rodentia; Heteromyidae. The record is from Rfam by way of RNAcentral.
GGGAAUGUGGCUUAGUGGUAGAGUGCUUGCCUAGCAUGCAUGAAGCCUUGGAUUCCAUUCCUC